Molecule: transfer RNA, 87 nt
Filed under: Fidelibacterota bacterium
Lineage: Bacteria; Pseudomonadati; Fidelibacterota
Description: Candidatus Marinimicrobia bacterium tRNA-Leu
Rfam family: tRNA
About the family: Transfer RNA (tRNA) molecules are approximately 80 nucleotides in length. Their secondary structure includes four short double-helical elements and three loops (D, anti-codon, and T loops). Further hydrogen bonds mediate the characteristic L-shaped molecular structure. tRNAs have two regions of fundamental functional importance: the anti-codon, which is responsible for specific mRNA codon recognition, and the 3' end, to which the tRNAs corresponding amino acid is attached (by aminoacyl-tRNA synthetases). tRNAs cope with the degeneracy of the genetic code in two manners: having more than one tRNA (with a specific anti-codon) for a particular amino acid; and 'wobble' base-pairing, i.e. permitting non-standard base-pairing at the 3rd anti-codon position.
Source: RNAcentral
GCCGAGAUGGCGAAACUGGUAGACGCGCUGGAUUCAAAAUCCAGUGUCCUAACGGACGUGUGGGUUCGAUUCCCACUCUCGGUACUA